This 770-nucleotide ribosomal RNA is filed under the name Clostridioides difficile. RNAcentral describes it as "bacterial LSU rRNA". It matches the Rfam family "Bacterial large subunit ribosomal RNA", at positions 765 to 1540 of the family's 2925-position model. Lineage: Bacteria; Bacillati; Bacillota; Clostridia; Peptostreptococcales; Peptostreptococcaceae. The record is from RNAcentral.
CGUGGAGGUCCGAACCCACGAGCGUUGAAAAGCUCGGGGAUGACUUGUGGGUAGCGGUGAAAUUCCAAUCGAGCCCGGAGAUAGCUGGUUCUCCCCGAAAUAGCUUUAGGGCUAGCCUCAAGGUGAGAGAUACGGAGGUAGAGCACUGAAUGUCCUAGGGGGUAUUGCACCUACCGAAGACUAUCAAACUCCGAAUGCCGUCAUCUUAUACUUGGGAGUCAGACUGUGGGUGAUAAGAUUCAUAGUCGAAAGGGCAACAGCCCAGAUCGUCAGCUAAGGUCCCUAAAUGUAAGUUAAGUGGUAAAGGAUGUGGGAUUGCACAGACAACCAGGAUGUUGGCUUAGAAGCAGCCACUCAUUCAAAGAGUGCGUAAUAGCUCACUGGUCGAGUGAUCCUGCGCCGAAGAUUUCCGGGGCUAAAACUUACUACCGAAGCUACGGCAUCAGUAAUGAUGGGUAGGGGAGCUUCCCAUACGGGUUGAAGCAUGACCGUAAGGACAUGUGGACAGUAUGGGAGUGAGAAUGUUGGCAUGAGUAGCGAGAUGUGGGUGAGAAUCCCACAGGCCGUAAACCCAAGGUUUCCAGGGGAAGGUUCGUCCGCCCUGGGUUAGUCGGGACCUAAGCUGAGGCCGAAAGGCGUAGGUGAUGGACAACAGGUUGAUAUUCCUGUACUACCGAUAACCGUUUGAGAGAAGGGAUGACACAGUAGGAUAAGCUAAGCACACUGUUGGUUAUGUGUGCCCAAGCAUUGAGGCAGUCAAAGUAGGCAAA